GUGUAGCAAUACACGCUGAUGGCGACCGGCAAACGGGUGCGGAACACGUACGCAAUCUACCCAUAACUGGGGCAUAGCCCGGGGAAACCCGGAUUAAUACCUCGUAACAUCAUGUGGUGGCAUCACUAUAUGAUUAUAGCUCCGGCGGUUAUGGAUGAGCGUGCGGCUGAUUAGGUAGUUGGCAGGGUAACGGCCUACCAAGCCUACGAUCAGUAACUGGUGUGAGAGCACGACCAGUCACACGGGCACUGAGACACGGGCCCGACUCCUACGGGAGGCAGCAGUAAGGAAUAUUGGGCAAUGGACGCAAGUCUGACCCAGCCAUGCCGCGUGGAGGAUGAAGGCCUCUGGGUUGUAAACUUCUUUUAUCUGGGACGAAACCCUCUUAUUCUUAGGAGAUUGACGGUACCAGAGGAAUAAGCACCGGCUAA
Molecule: ribosomal RNA, 431 nt
Filed under: uncultured bacterium
Lineage: Bacteria
Description: bacterial SSU rRNA
Rfam family: Bacterial small subunit ribosomal RNA
Source: RNAcentral